UACGGAGGGUGCAAGCGUUGUUCGGAAUUACUGGGCGUAAAGAGCGUGUAGGUGGUCGAGUAAGUCGAAUGUGAAAGCCCCGGGCUCAACCCGGGAAGUGCAUCCGAAACUGCUCGACUAGAGUCCCGGAGAGGAAGGCAGAAUUCCCAAUGUAGGGGUGAAAUCCGUAGAUAUUGGGAGGAAUACCGGUGGCGAAGGCGGCCUUCUGGACGGUGACUGACACUGAGACGCGAAAGCGUGGGGAGCAAACAGG
This 253-nucleotide ribosomal RNA is filed under the name uncultured bacterium. RNAcentral describes it as "partial 16S ribosomal RNA". It matches the Rfam family "Bacterial small subunit ribosomal RNA", at positions 524 to 776 of the family's 1533-position model. The record is from RNAcentral.